Molecule: long non-coding RNA, 90 nt
Organism: Pundamilia nyererei
Lineage: Eukaryota; Metazoa; Chordata; Actinopteri; Cichliformes; Cichlidae
Exons: 3
Source: RefSeq, a predicted model, not a curated record
GAGUGACAUAGAUCUUUGGUUUUGCCUUUGCUGAGUGAACAGAUCUUUGGUUUUGCCUUUUCUGACUGCUGAUCUGAACUUCUCAAAUCU